This is a long non-coding RNA of Pogona vitticeps (central bearded dragon), 2041 nucleotides long. Lineage: Eukaryota; Metazoa; Chordata; Lepidosauria; Squamata; Agamidae. The record is from Ensembl.
GCGGACGGCGACUCUGGGCGGGAAACAGGAGCUGCUGCGCCGAGGCGAAGAAAAUUAUGUAAGAGUUCACCACGACGAUCAAAGGUGAGGAAGAGGGCCCCCCCUGAGCCCCCAAAUGUGCGCGUGUCUGCGCGCCCGUGUGGACGCGUUUCCCCCUCGAAGCUCGGAGAGCCGAAAGCGCGCGCGCGGGAAUCUCCUCAGGCAGCCAAACUUUCUCCCUCGGUGGAAAAACCGCUCGGGCGGGCGACCAGCUGGAUUCAGAAGCGACUCAAACAGGUGCAAGGCGGAAAGGGCUGGAGAAGGAGCGACGGGGGGGAGGAGAGAGAGAGAGAGGGAGAGAGAGAGAGAGAGAGUCACGGCUGCUCCACUUUGGCCAGAAGGUGGGAGGCAACGGGGUGUGUGCCCGGCUCUCGGCGCCUUUCCACGGUCCUCCGCGUUACCCCGCGCGCGUUCCGCAGAAAUGCAAGGCUGACUCCCCUCGUUUAAGCUGCUGCUGAAGUGAUCUAAUGUGCCCCCCCUUCACUAACUUCCACAGGGAGAGGGGGGGGGAGAGAGAGAGAGAGAGAGAGAGAGGAGGGAGCAAGCGAGCGAGCGUGUGUGACUCGCAUCCGCUGGUCCCAAGUGAACAGAGGAAAAGAGACAGGAAAUGCCCCCUCCCCCUCUCCCACCUCCGCCCCACGUAGAAACGAGAGAGAGAGAGAGGGAGGGAGAGAGGGAGAGAGAGAGAGAAAGAGAAGUAAUUAAAUGACAAAGCGCGCGGGGGGGGGAGCCAGAGAGAGGGAGGGGGUGAAUGAGAAGGAAAGAAGGAAGGAAGGAAGGAAAGAAAGAAAACCGUAAAGACGAGGGAGGGGAGGGCGAGGGGAGGGUGGGAAGCAAAGCGCCUCCAGCCAGGCAGCAGCAGAACUUGCGCCGUAAUUUGUUCUCCGCGGUUUUCCCUCCUCUCGCUCGGGAGGAAUCAGGAAAGGAGGAGCAGCAGCCGGGAGAGGCAUCCAGCAAAGAGCCCCGCAGCCAUACACGGCGCACCGAAGCGGGAUUAAAUGACUUUGCCUUGGCCAAUCGGAGCGCGUCGGCGGGGGAUUAUUUGCAUGGCGCACUCGGGAGUGACGUCCGGAGUACAUUUCUAUACACCAGUCGAUGGGGUAAUUGCUUCAAACUUCUUGGCUCAUUCAUUCUUACAAGAGGCCUGUGAGACUGCCUGAAUUUCAUCCCAUUUUACAGGCUGGGAAGCUGAGAGACAACCUGUUCUUGAGUGAAGGAUUAUCACAUGGUCCGACCAAAGCCCAAUAGGAGAUUGAAAUGAAGGCUUAUGCCAAAUCCAUCUAAAAGUGAUAAUCCUAUGAAGACUUAUUUGGAAAAUCUAUUAAACUGAAAGCAUGCAUGUAGUCAUAUUGCAGGUGUUUAGUAAGGAAAGUAACAUUCUCUGGGUCCAUUAUUUGCCCAGCUGAAUGUGGUGAUUAGUUUACAGUAAUUGUCUUUGGCAUACCCUGCUAAAUGUAAGUGAGGAAAACUACAUUAUGCCUGUGUGAUUAUUAGAAGCGGGCAGUUUGGAAAUGUGCCCACAACAAGGAAACUUCUGAACUGCUGUUGGUGGAAAUCCCUUCCUAUGGUUUCUUACUUCUUUGGGCCAAGCAGCAAAGUUGCCUGCCUUCAUUGUGGAUAGACAGCUGUCUGCAAUAGCACCAUACUCUGCAAGGCGUGUCUUGUUGCUAAGUGAGAGAUGACUGACAGUUAUUGCCAGUGCCAACAAGGCAGCAAGUGUGGUGGCACUUGGUGCCAAGAUUCCUACGCUGGUAAAACAUGGGGAAAGGGCCUUAAUUCUUAUACAUAUGCAGUCUUGAUCCCUUCAUAUAACUUGCUCACAAAGAAAAAAUUGCAAAUACCACCUGCUUGCUCUGGAGAGUACAUGUUGAAUUGAUCAUGUUCCUACUUAUGUCAGAGUGAGAUACCCACUGAAUACAGUGCGGCCUGCUUCCUAGUGAGGAGAUUUGGACUCUUUUGGUUGCAUCCAAAAUAAAUUUGCAAGUGCCUUUGAUAUUUACCA